UACGAAAGGGGCUAGCGUUGUUCGGAAUCACUGGGCGUAAAGGGCGCGUAGGCGGCCAAGUAAGUUAGAGGUGAAAGCCUGGGGCUUAACCUCAGAAUUGCCUUUAAUACUGCUUGGCUGGAGUUUGGUAGGGGAUAGUGGAAUUCCUAAUGUAGAGGUGAAAUUCGUAGAUAUUAGGAGGAACACCAGUGGCGAAGGCGACUGUCUGGGCCAAUACUGACGCUGAGGCGCGAAAGCGUGGGGAGCAAACAGG
RNAcentral lists this ribosomal RNA (253 nucleotides) under uncultured bacterium. RNAcentral's name for it is "partial 16S ribosomal RNA". It matches the Rfam family "Bacterial small subunit ribosomal RNA", at positions 524 to 776 of the family's 1533-position model. The record is from RNAcentral.